UUAUAAUUUCUAUACUAAACG
RNAcentral lists this non-coding RNA (21 nucleotides) under Caenorhabditis elegans. Lineage: Eukaryota; Metazoa; Nematoda; Chromadorea; Rhabditida; Rhabditidae. The record is from RNAcentral.